Molecule: ribosomal RNA, 506 nt
Filed under: Shigella boydii
Lineage: Bacteria; Pseudomonadati; Pseudomonadota; Gammaproteobacteria; Enterobacterales; Enterobacteriaceae
Description: bacterial SSU rRNA
Rfam family: Bacterial small subunit ribosomal RNA
Source: RNAcentral
GAGUGGCGGACGGGUGAGUAAUGUCUGGGAAACUGCCUGAUGGAGGGGGAUAACUACUGGAAACGGUAGCUAAUACCGCAUAACGUCGCAAGACCAAAGAGGGGGACCUUCGGGCCUCUUGCCAUCGGAUGUGCCCAGAUGGGAUUAGCUAGUAGGUGGGGUAACGGCUCACCUAGGCGACGAUCCCUAGCUGGUCUGAGAGGAUGACCAGCCACACUGGAACUGAGACACGGUCCAGACUCCUACGGGAGGCAGCAGUGGGGAAUAUUGCACAAUGGGCGCAAGCCUGAUGCAGCCAUGCCGCGUGUAUGAAGAAGGCCUUCGGGUUGUAAAGUACUUUCAGCGGGGAGGAAGGGAGUAAAGUUAAUACCUUUGCUCAUUGACGUUACCCGCAGAAGAAGCACCGGCUAACUCCGUGCCAGCAGCCGCGGUAAUACGGAGGGUGCAAGCGUUAAUCGGAAUUACUGGGCGUAAAGCGCACGCAGGCGGUUUGUUAAGUCAGAUGU